GCCCGCCUAGCUCAAUCGGAUAGAGCGUCAGACUCUUAGGCGGGUGCUGAUUGGCACACAGCUGCAAUCUGAAGGCUGCGAGUUCGACCCUCGCGGUGGGCU
Non-coding RNA from Gloeopeniophorella convolvens, 102 nucleotides. The record is from the annotation of a GenBank genome assembly. NCBI's taxonomy places the organism in Eukaryota, Fungi, Basidiomycota, Agaricomycetes, Russulales.